GACGAACGCUGGCGGCGUGCUUAACACAUGCCAGUCGAACGGAAAGGCCCUGCUUUUGUGGGGUGCUCGAGUGGCGAACGGGUGAGUAACACGUGAGUAACCUGCCCUUGACUUUGGGAUAACUUCAGGAAACUGGGGCUAAUACCGGAUAGGAGCUCCUGCUGCAUGGUGGGGGUUGGAAAGUUUCGGCGGUUGGGGAUGCACUCGCGGCUUAUCAGCUUGUUGGUGGGGUAGUGGCUUACCAAGGCUUUGACGGGUAGCCGGCCUGAGAGGGUGACCGGCGACAUUGGGACUGAGAGACGGCCCAGACUCCUACGGGAGGCAGCAGUGGGGAAUAUUGCAAAAUGGGCGGAAGCCUGAUGCAGCAACGCCGCGUGCGGGAUGACGGCCUUCGGGUUGUAAACCGCUUUCGCCUGUGACGAAGCGUGAGUGACGGUAAUGGGUAAAGAAGCACCGGCUAACUACGUG
Molecule: ribosomal RNA, 468 nt
Filed under: uncultured bacterium
Lineage: Bacteria
Description: partial 16S ribosomal RNA
Rfam family: Bacterial small subunit ribosomal RNA
Source: RNAcentral